RNAcentral lists this ribosomal RNA (251 nucleotides) under uncultured bacterium. RNAcentral describes it as "partial 16S ribosomal RNA". It matches the Rfam family "Bacterial small subunit ribosomal RNA", at positions 525 to 775 of the family's 1533-position model. The record is from RNAcentral.
ACGUAUGGUGCAAGCGUUAUCCGGAUUUACUGGGUGUAAAGGGAGCGCAGGCGGUGCGGCAAGUCUGAUGUGAAAGCCCGGGGCUCAACCCCGGUAUUGCAUUGGAAACUGUCGUACUAGAGUGUCGGAGGGGUAAGUGGAAUUCCUAGUGUAGCGGUGAAAUGCGUAGAUAUUAGGAGGAACACCAGUGGCGAAGGCGGCUUACUGGACGAUAACUGACGCUGAGGCUCGAAAGCGUGGGGAGCAAACAG